CUUUCUUUGCUGGCGACCGGCGUACGGGUGAGUAACACGUAUCCAACCUGCCCUUUACUCGGGGAUAGCCUUUCGAAAGAAAGAUUAAUACCCGAUAGCAUAAUGAUUCCGCAUGGUUUCAUUAUUAAAGGAUUCCGGUAAAGGAUGGGGAUGCGUUCCAUUAGGUUGUUGGUGAGGUAACGGCUCACCAAGCCUUCGAUGGAUAGGGGUUCUGAGAGGAAGGUCCCCCACAUUGGAACUGAGACACGGUCCAA
This 254-nucleotide ribosomal RNA is filed under the name uncultured bacterium. RNAcentral describes it as "partial 16S ribosomal RNA". It matches the Rfam family "Bacterial small subunit ribosomal RNA", at positions 79 to 334 of the family's 1533-position model. The record is from RNAcentral.